UACGUAGGUGGCAAGCGUUAUCCGGAUUUAUUGGGCGUAAAGGGAACGCAGGCGGUCUUUUAAGUCUGAUGUGAUAGCCUUCGGCUUAACCGGAGUAGUGCAUUGGAAACUGGGAGACUUGAGUGCAGAAGAGGAGAGUGGAACUCCAUGUGUAGCGGUGAAAUGCGUAGAUAUAUGGAAGAACACCAGUGGCGAAAGCGGCUCUCUGGUCUGUAACUGACGCUGAGGUUCGAAAGCGUGGGUAGCAAACAGG
Molecule: ribosomal RNA, 253 nt
Filed under: uncultured bacterium
Lineage: Bacteria
Description: partial 16S ribosomal RNA
Rfam family: Bacterial small subunit ribosomal RNA
Source: RNAcentral